This is a non-coding RNA of Opisthocomus hoazin, 46 nucleotides long. Lineage: Eukaryota; Metazoa; Chordata; Aves; Opisthocomiformes; Opisthocomidae. The record is from Rfam.
CCAACGGCUCUUUUAAGAGCCACCCAAACACUCUACAAAAGGGCUG